This 890-nucleotide ribosomal RNA is filed under the name Bacillus tequilensis. RNAcentral's name for it is "bacterial SSU rRNA". It matches the Rfam family "Bacterial small subunit ribosomal RNA", at positions 57 to 924 of the family's 1533-position model. Lineage: Bacteria; Bacillati; Bacillota; Bacilli; Caryophanales; Bacillaceae. The record is from RNAcentral.
GCAGUCGAGCGGACAGAUGGGAGCUUGCUCCCUGAUGUUAGCGGCGGACGGGUGAGUAACACGUGGGUAACCUGCCUGUAAGACUGGGAUAACUCCGGGAAACCGGGGCUAAUACCGGAUGGUUGUUUGAACCGCAUGGUUCAAACAUAAAAGGUGGCUUCGGCUACCACUUACAGAUGGACCCGCGGCGCAUUAGCUAGUUGGUGAGGUAACGGCUCACCAAGGCAACGAUGCGUAGCCGACCUGAGAGGGUGAUCGGCCACACUGGGACUGAGACACGGCCCAGACUCCUACGGGAGGCAGCAGUAGGGAAUCUUCCGCAAUGGACGAAAGUCUGACGGAGCAACGCCGCGUGAGUGAUGAAGGUUUUCGGAUCGUAAAGCUCUGUUGUUAGGGAAGAACAAGUACCGUUCGAAUAGGGCGGUACCUUGACGGUACCUAACCAGAAAGCCACGGCUAACUACGUGCCAGCAGCCGCGGUAAUACGUAGGUGGCAAGCGUUGUCCGGAAUUAUUGGGCGUAAAGGGCUCGCAGGCGGUUUCUUAAGUCUGAUGUGAAAGCCCCCGGCUCAACCGGGGAGGGUCAUUGGAAACUGGGGAACUUGAGUGCAGAAGAGGAGAGUGAAAUCUCCACGUGUAGCGGUGAAAUGCGUAGAGAUGUGGAGGAACACCAGUGGCGAAGGCGACUCUCUGGUCUGUAACUGACGCUGAGGAGCGAAAGCGUGGGGAGCGAACAGGAUUAGAUACCCUGGUAGUCCACGCCGUAAACGAUGAGUGCUAAGUGUUGAGGGGUUUCCGCCCCUUAGUGCUGCAACUAACCGCAUUAAGCACAUGCCGCCUGCGCAGUACAGUCGCAGGACUGAAACUUCAUAGUAAAUGAACGGCGGCCGC